UUAAUUAGUGCAAAACUAAUAUGACUUCAACCAUAAUUCCUGCUACGUAGGAGAGGGCAAAUCUAGUUAUAGCUGCAUUUCUUAUUGAUAAAACCAUUAGGUAGAUAAACAUAACAUGUUGACACAGAGGACAUUAAGAAGCAUUCAGUUGCAUUAAAUACAACUCAAUGAAAAGCUUCGCCUCAGAGUUCAACCCCAAGGCCAUUUGGCAUCUCUCCACUUAAACUGGCGUUCUAUAUAAUUCCCGUCAGAGAAAUUUCCUGGACAAAAUCCAUCAUGGGGCAAAUAUUUAUCCUUGUCCUUUGCAGGUGCUUGACUGCAUUGAAGCUUUUGAUCACGUGCCAUUGCUUCCUCCCUAUAUUUAGGGCUAUUAUACCUUGGGUGUUGGAUAUAUGGCACAUUUUUCCACCACAGUUUAAGGGCAUGCCAAUAUAUCCAGAAUGCAACUUUAUGAGGCAUCAACCAGAAGAACAAAUCAUGAUCACUACCCAAGAACAGGGAGAUUCUUUUAGCUUUCAAAGUAGCCACAAAAUAGUCACCGAGCUCAGGGUGUUGAACUGAAAUGGACACAGAUAAGCCGUCACCAGGAGCAUUUGCUCUGAUUCUCCAAUCCCCCAACAUAUCCAUAAAAGGGCUGACAUGCAAUGGUUUUGCCACUAAAUCUGAGUUUGGAUCGAAAACAAAUAUGACUCUUUCACCCCAUGGUGUAUUUGUUACCUCAGCAAUGCAUUUCUUCAAAUGCUGAAUAGAGCCUUCAAGGUCAUAGCAAUAAUACACACUCAAAGGAUUUUGAUCAUAUCCCACGCUGGGAGGUAUUGUCAGGAGAAAAACUGGUCCAGUGGUCUCCGUUUUUUGGCGAGCCUCGUCGGCGGAGAGGUGGCCAGGUGGCGAUUUGGACGAGUUGUCUAGGUCAAAAAGUGCAUAACGAACAGAG
RNAcentral lists this unclassified non-coding RNA (934 nucleotides) under Hevea brasiliensis (rubber tree). Lineage: Eukaryota; Viridiplantae; Streptophyta; Magnoliopsida; Malpighiales; Euphorbiaceae. The record is from RNAcentral.